UUUAUUAGAUUUAUUUGAAAUGUUUGACUACAUGGAGUAGUCUGUGAAAAAAACUUAAACAAUUAAAUGACCUUGUGACCAUAUGCAGACUUGGACAAACUUCAAAAUCAGAUAUCUAUAAAAACAAUUUCCUCCAAAGAGUAUGUUUAAGACAUGUAAGAAGAAGUAAUGGAGUAGGAAAAGUCAUGUAACCAUUCUUGAAAAUGUCACGC
Molecule: long non-coding RNA, 212 nt
Filed under: Mytilus galloprovincialis (Mediterranean mussel)
Lineage: Eukaryota; Metazoa; Mollusca; Bivalvia; Mytilida; Mytilidae
Source: RNAcentral